AUUGAACGCUGGCGGAAUGCUUUACACAUGCAAGUCGAACGGCAGCACGGGGGCAACCCUGGUGGCGAGUGGCGAACGGGUGAGUAAUACAUCGGAACGUGCCCAUGUCGUGGGGGAUAACGUAGCGAAAGCUACGCUAAUACCGCAUACGAUCUACGGAUGAAAGCGGGGGACCGUAAGGCCUCGCGCGAUUGGAGCGGCCGAUGGCAGAUUAGGUAGUUGGUGGGGUAAAGGCUCACCAAGCCUGCGAUCUGUAGCUGGUCUGAGAGGACGACCAGCAACACUGGGACGGGGACACGGCCCAGACUCCUACGGGAGGCAGCAGUGGGGAAUUUUGGACAAUGGGCGCAAGCCUGAUCCAGCCAUUCCGCGUGCAGGAUGAAGGCCUUCGGGUUGUAAACUGCUUUUGUACGGAACGAAAAGACUCUCUCUAAUACAGGGGGUUCAUGACGGUACCGUAAGAAUAAGCACCGGCUAACUACGUGCCAGCCGCCGCAGUAA
This 501-nucleotide ribosomal RNA is filed under the name uncultured bacterium. Its description in RNAcentral is "partial 16S ribosomal RNA". It matches the Rfam family "Bacterial small subunit ribosomal RNA", at positions 30 to 523 of the family's 1533-position model. The record is from RNAcentral.